This 253-nucleotide ribosomal RNA is filed under the name uncultured bacterium. RNAcentral's name for it is "partial 16S ribosomal RNA". It matches the Rfam family "Bacterial small subunit ribosomal RNA", at positions 524 to 776 of the family's 1533-position model. The record is from RNAcentral.
UACAGAGGGUGCAAGCGUUAAUCGGAAUUACUGGGCGUAAAGGGCGCGUAGGUGGUUAAGUAAGUGAAUGGUGAAAUCCCCGGGCUUAACCUGGGAAUUGCCAUUUAAACUGCAUAGCUUGAGUGCAAUAGAGGGUAGUGGAAUUUCCGGUGUAGCGGUGAAAUGCGUAGAUAUCGGAAGGAACACCAGUGGCGAAGGCGGCUACCUGGAUUGACACUGACACUGAGGCGCGAGAGCGUGGGGAGCAAACAGG